CCCUUAGAGUUUGAUCCUGGCUCAGGACGAACGCUGGCGGCGUGCUUAACACAUGCAAGUCGAACGGGCCUUAACGAAUAGAUUACUAUGAGCUAAGGUUAGUGGCGGACGGGUGAGUAACACGUGGAUAACCUACCUGACACAUCGGGAUAACACCGUGAAAACAGUGCUAAUACCGGAUACGUUCUUUAGGGCGCAUGGUCUAAAGAAGAAAGGGGGAACCCGGUGACAGAUGGGUCCGCGUCCCAUUAGCUAGUUGGAGGUGUAAAGGACCCCCAAGGCGACGAUGGGUAGCCGGCCUGAGAGGGUGGACGGCCACACUGGAACUGAGACACGGUCCAGACUCCUACGGGAGGCAGCAGUGGGGAAUCUUCCGCAAUGGGCGCAAGCCUGACGGAGCAACGCCGCGUGAGUGAUGAAGGCUUUCGGGUUGUAAAACUCUGUCUUCAGGGAAGAAACAAAUGACGGUACCUGAGGAGGAAGCCCCGGCUAACUACGUGCCAGCAGCCGCGGUAAAACGUAGGGGGCGAGCGUUGUCCGGAAUUACUGGGCGUAAAGGGCGCGUAGGCGGUUUUUCAAGUCAGGGGUGAAAACUCUGGGCUCAACUCAGAGCCUGCCUCUGAAACUGGAAGACUUGAGGGCAGGAGAGGGGAGUGGAAUUCCCAGUGUAGCGGUGAAAUGCGUAGAUAUUGGGAGGAACACCAGUGGCGAAGGCGACUCUCUGGCCUAACCCUGACGCUGAGGCGCGAAAGCGUGGGGAGCAAACGGGAUUAGAUACCCCGGUAGUCCUGGCCGUAAAC
RNAcentral lists this ribosomal RNA (800 nucleotides) under uncultured bacterium. Its description in RNAcentral is "bacterial SSU rRNA". It matches the Rfam family "Bacterial small subunit ribosomal RNA", at positions 1 to 807 of the family's 1533-position model. The record is from RNAcentral.